CUAACCAGAGCAUCAAGUGGCCAUGGGGUCAGUUUAUACUAGCCAUUUCGAUUGAGGUGAUCUGGAAUCUCGAGUAACCUGAGAAAAAGUGACAAUGUUGGUCUCAAAGAACUGGAAAAGGGAUGGUGUGGACUGCUGGGUAGCUGUUUCUGCCAAGUGGCAUGGAGGAAAAGCGAGAGGCCGUGGGCGGGUGGCACCGUGCCCAGGACUUCAGUACAGAGGCCACCCCUAGAUCCGGUCAAGCCUCAUCUGAGCACAGAAGAUCCAUAUUUGAGGAAAGUCAGCACCAAGAAAAGACAUGCGACUUAUCUGUCCCGGGACAUUCGUUUGUAAAAUGGGAACCAUGAUAAUAUAUAACACAAUAACUUCACUGUUUUGCCAAGUGGCCACACUGACCAAGUGACAGAUGAAGGAGCAACACAGCCAAACCAUUAAAAAAAAACAAUGUGAAAUACUAAACGUGUCAUACUGACGCAGUGUCCUCUUCGGCUUCCCUUCCAUCUUGAAAGAGGCACUACCCUUCUCCGCUGAGCACCCCAAAGUGUAAGCACGCACGUGCCCAAGCGUCUAAACAUGGCUCACAGCUUUGCGCCCUGCAGAAGCAAGAAACAGUUUUUCUUAAGUUUGAAGUCUUUGCUCAAACACAGUUUGCAAUGUUUUGGGAACCGGAGCCAAGCUCUGUUGAAUGCUUAUGAGACAUUUUGCUUAUUAAAUAACCUUCUGAAAGCUGCCAGGUUUUAGUGACUCAUGGACUCAUGCAAACGGAGGCAUGGCGGCUUGAGUUAUGGAACCAGAGGGAGGAGAUGCUCAAAUGUGCAUUUUACAGGAAGGAAACUGGCUGCCAGGACAGUGGAGACGAUUUGCCCAGACCACGCCCUGCGAAGUGCCCACAGGAGAGUCAGGCCAGAACCCUAAACCUCCGAGCUCAGGGCUCUUUUUUCUGAACACAUUUUCCCAUGGAUCUUCUGGCCCACGUGGCUCUAAUUCCAUGGCCAGCACAAAACUCUAGAAAGAAAUCAGAAAUGACCUACCUUCCCUACCUCCUCUCCCAGCCCUGGUGAUAUUAAGAUGAGAAAAAUGUUUAGGAUUGCAAAGCUGCUUAGGAUAUCAUGCUUUCAAGGA
Molecule: long non-coding RNA, 1122 nt
Organism: Mus musculus (house mouse)
Lineage: Eukaryota; Metazoa; Chordata; Mammalia; Rodentia; Muridae
Product: predicted gene, 32564
Exons: 3
Source: RefSeq, a predicted model, not a curated record